Molecule: transfer RNA, 541 nt
Filed under: uncultured cyanobacterium
Lineage: Bacteria; Bacillati; Cyanobacteriota
Description: partial 16S-23S ribosomal RNA intergenic spacer
Rfam family: tRNA (bases 212-284)
Source: RNAcentral
CAGGGAGACAACAAAAUGUUUAAUAUUAUUAUUUUGUCACCUUAGGUCGAUCGGUAUCUCACGUUUUUAAUUUAUUAAGAAUUUCAUUUCCUAAGUUUUUCUAGGUCACACCCAUUAUUUUUCCUGGGCCAUUAGCUCAGGUGGUUAGAGCGCACCCCUGAUAAGGGUGAGGUCCCUGGUUCAAGUCCAGGAUGGCCCAUAUCUCUAUGUUGGGGGUAUAGCUCAGUUGGUAGAGCGCCUGCUUUGCAAGCAGGAUGUCAGCGGUUCGAGUCCGCUUACCUCCACUGAUCACCACCUCUUCCAUAACUGGUAGAAAGGAAAUUUUUUGAGUUGUGAUCAAAUUCUGAAAGAAUCUAGCUUCCUAAUGAAAUCGUUAAGAUGCUGGACUCAUUGAAUUAAUUUCAUUGUUUUCAGAGAACCUUGACAACUGCAUAGAUUAUUUUUAAUGACAAUAAGCAUCUUUAGUGAUGCAGAUUUAUUAUUUGUGCAAAUGCAUUAAUAACAAUUCUAUUAAGCUGAUGCUUCAAUAUUUGAAGUUAUU